This 252-nucleotide ribosomal RNA is filed under the name uncultured bacterium. RNAcentral describes it as "partial 16S ribosomal RNA". It matches the Rfam family "Bacterial small subunit ribosomal RNA", at positions 524 to 776 of the family's 1533-position model. The record is from RNAcentral.
UACGUAGGGCGCAAGCGUUGUCCGGAAUUAUUGGGCGUAAAGAGCUCGUAGGUGGCGUGUCGCGUCUGCCGUGAAAGCCCAUGGCUUAACUGUGGGUCUGCGGUGGAUACGGGCAGCUGGAGGCUGGUAGGGGCAAGCGGAAUUCCUGGUGUAGCGGUGAAAUGCGCAGAUAUCAGGAGGAACACCGGUGGCGAAGGCGGGUCUCUGGGCCGAUACUGACGCUGAGGAGCGAAAGCGUGGGGAGCGAACAGG